UAGGUAUUUUUAAAUCUGGAUACAGGUGCAUUGAUUUUAAAAUAUGGAUUCCGAAUCGGUGAUUGUAAACCAGAUCGAUAUUAAUAAUUUAUUCACACUAAAUCGAUUGUAGAAUUUUUUCAAUUAGGAUUAAAUUAUCAGCAAUUACAGAACCAACGCACUUGCCAUUAAUAAUAUAACAAUGAAUAAGUGACGUUCAAAUGUUGUUUUUGUCCUUAACAAGUCACGAGGAUGUCCAAAUAAUUUGUUUCAUAAGUUAACGGCUGAAUUGGGAAGAUAUUUAUAGUUACCGACAAAUUAUGUUCACUAAAUAUGAAUGGACGGCCGUCUCUCCAAGUGAAAGUUGGAAAUUACGACCCUUUAUGUGAUUGAAUGUUAUUAUAAUAUUAUGAUGAUGACGAUGAAAUAUUGUUAUGUAUCAUUUUUUCUUUCAAGAAAUACCUAUGCAAUCUAAUUAUAUAGUUCAGCAGUUGAUGUGAUCUAUAUUUUCUUUGAUUCUGGAUGUUUGAAUUCCAUAAAUACCUACACGAUAAAAUGUUUACAAAAAUAAGAGCG
Long non-coding RNA from Myzus persicae (green peach aphid), 555 nucleotides. RefSeq lists it as uncharacterized. The record is from RefSeq and is a predicted model, not a curated record. The transcript is spliced from 3 exons. NCBI's taxonomy places the organism in Eukaryota, Metazoa, Arthropoda, Insecta, Hemiptera, Aphididae.